RNAcentral lists this ribosomal RNA (481 nucleotides) under Beijerinckiaceae bacterium. RNAcentral's name for it is "bacterial SSU rRNA". It matches the Rfam family "Bacterial small subunit ribosomal RNA", at positions 947 to 1427 of the family's 1533-position model. The record is from RNAcentral. Lineage: Bacteria; Pseudomonadati; Pseudomonadota; Alphaproteobacteria; Hyphomicrobiales; Beijerinckiaceae.
UAAUUCGAAGCAACGCGCAGAACCUUACCAGCCUUUGACAUGCCUCGGACGGUUACCAGAGAUGGUUUCUUCUCUUCGGAGCCGGGGACACAGGUGCUGCAUGGCUGUCGUCAGCUCGUGUCGUGAGAUGUUGGGUUAAGUCCCGCAACGAGCGCAACCCACGCCCUUAGUUGCCAUCAUUAAGUUGGGCACUCUAGGGGGACUGCCGGUGAUAAGCCGAGAGGAAGGUGUGGAUGACGUCAAGUCCUCAUGGCCCUUACGGGCUGGGCUACACACGUGCUACAAUGGCGGUGACAAUGGGACGCGAAAGGGUGACCUUUAGCAAAUCUCAAAAAGCCGUCUCAGUUCGGAUUGUACUCUGCAACUCGAGUACAUGAAGGUGGAAUCGCUAGUAAUCGUAGAUCAGAACGCUACGGUGAAUACGUUCCCGGGCCUUGUACACACCGCCCGUCACACCAUGGGAGUUGGUUCUACCCGAAGG